UUUUACUACAUCGAAAUAUGACUCUAGUGUUAUUUGUUUUUGGUAAAUUUGUAUUAAUUUUUUGUAGAGUUUAUUUCUAAUAUCUUUAGUACAAAAAAAGAUUGUAUUGUUUACUAAACUUAAUACUUGAUUUUCUACUUGUAAUUAGUUUUAAAAAAGAUAUAGAUUAUAAAAAGAAAAGAACAUCUUAAAUUUCAGGUACCUUAGCUGAUUCUUUUGAAAAACAUUAUUUUUAUAAGAGAAUGAUCAUUAUUCUAACUUACGUUUGUUGUUAGGAGAGAGUGUCUGAGCAUUUUGGAGUGCCAACUUACAGACUACGAUUUUACAAUUCCAAACCUCCAUCUUGUCUCGUUUUGCCCAAAAGACUAUAUGAUAAAGGUAAUAUUUUGGACCUUGUAACACAUAAUAGAUGUUGAAUAUUAAAGCCUCCAAUUAAUAAACUUUGAAUUUGUUUUUUAUAUCUAAGGACAAUCUUAACUUAAGCAUGUAUUUAUCCUAUCAUAUCACUAGAUUCACUACACAUAACACAUGACAUCUAAUGUUAUAAGUAGGAAAUCAACUACAUUAUUAUCAAUGGUUGAUUAUAAUUCUAUUAAUUGGCAAUAACUAAGUAGAAUGCGGAUAUCUCUUAUAUACUAAAUAAUGUUCUCUUGAAAGAGUGUGUAAUUGUUUCGCAAUGAACAAAAAUAUUCACACAAUAUCUACUCUAGUCUUCUCUGCUCCCAAAACGUUCUUCGCGGUGGCCGUCGGUAGAUAUCCUUCAUCAUGGACAGUGAUAAGAACAUGACAUGAGCUAUUGUCUUCUUUCUCGUUGUCGCCAUCUAGAACCGGCUUUACACAUCCCCUGUGGAGUAAUUGAUGUUGUCCUAUCUCCGCUGAUAGUUUUGAAUCCAAAGUCUCUUUGAAAUGUGCAAGACCAGAGAAUUCUUCCACAGCCUCGUAGAUCUUCUCGACGCAAUUCACGACCUCGAUCAGGAUUGAUGCCAUUGUGACUCCGGGAAUGAUCUCCAAAAGAUCUUUAUAUGUCUCUGGAUAAGAAGAUUUGAGUGCAAUCUUUAAGUUUUUAAUGGCCUUUUUGGAGUUGUCAAUGUGUGCGUUCACACAAGCACUAUCGUUCCUCAUUGUUUUAAUAGAUUUGGCUAUGGCUUUUAGGGCUUCACCAACUUCUCUGCUCAUAGUCGUGAUUGGCUCUUGAAUCUUACUUUCGAAUUCUUGUGGUGCCUGCUUAAGUAGCAAGUAAAAAAAAAAAAAGAAUUGAUUGGGUCAAACAAUUAGUAAUUUUUAUCUUUUUGCUUAACCCUUUAUUAUUUGUUAAUACUCUGUCCUUCAAUUAAAGA
RNAcentral lists this small RNA (1337 nucleotides) under Arabidopsis thaliana (thale cress). Its description in RNAcentral is "ATSL136400". The record is from RNAcentral. Lineage: Eukaryota; Viridiplantae; Streptophyta; Magnoliopsida; Brassicales; Brassicaceae.